GACGAACGCUGGCGGCGUGCUUAACACAUGCAAGUCGAGCGGUAAGGCCCCUUUUGGGGGGUACACGAGCGGCGAACGGGUGAGUAACACGUGGGUGACCUGCCUUCAGCUCUGGGAUAAGCCUGGGAAACUGGGUCUAAUACCGGAUAUGACCUUUGCCUGCAUGGGUGGGGGUGGAAAGAUUUGUUUUGGCUGGGGAUGGGCCUGCGGUCUAUCAGCUUGUUGGUGGGGUGAUGGCCUACCAAGGCGACGACGGGUAGCCGGCCUGAGAGGGCGACCGGCCACACUGGGACUGAGACACGGCCCAGACUCCUACGGGAGGCAGCAGUGGGGAAUAUUGCGCAAUGGGCGGAAGCCUGACGCAGCGACGCCGCGUGGGGAUGACGGCCUCGGUU
This 395-nucleotide ribosomal RNA is filed under the name uncultured bacterium. RNAcentral's name for it is "bacterial SSU rRNA". It matches the Rfam family "Bacterial small subunit ribosomal RNA", at positions 28 to 424 of the family's 1533-position model. The record is from RNAcentral.